GCUUCCAUUGUCCACGAACACUAUCAUACUUGAACAUGUACGUCUAUAUGUAGAAAAUACCCGUAUAUUCACAUUAGGUAUAUAAAAAUUAAUAUCACGAAAGACUAAUUCAUCAGGUCAGACAAUCAAUCAGACGAUAUAAAUUCCUUUAAUUUUAAUCCAUCAAAUUUUUAUAAUGUACAUGUGCAUGUAGGUUCACAUUUCAAAUGCAACAUAUAUACAAACGUGAAAUAAAAGAAAUUAAAAAAAAAAUCGUAUCAUUACAACCCCCCCUCCCCCCCUAAUCAGUUGUAGUGAAAAGAUCAUUAAAAGCGACAAGCGCAACAUCGUCUCUUUUCAAUGUAAUUAGGGAUGGCAAUGGACAAUUGCGAAUUUGUCAUCAUCAAAUCUGUACUUAUAAAAAAUUUAAAUUAAAUUAUAUAAUUCAAACUAUAAAUAUAUAAUAAUAGUCUAAAAAUCCACAAACAAUAUUCAACUCUAGAUUUUAUUAAUGUAAAUAAGAAAUUAAAAUUUGAGCAUUAAAAAAAUGUAUAAAAAAUAUUAAUCUAACACUAAAUAUUUUCAUUGCAGGUGAAUCAUCAUCACUAAUAUCAAUGUCUUCCUUCAUCUUUCAAUCAAUACACAAGUAUUAUUAAUAAUAUUAACAAGUAGAUUUUAUACAAUUAUCGUUAAGGCAAAAUAAACAAAAUCAAUUAAAGUAAAAUAAAAAUAUUAGUAAUAAAAAUUAUAAAAUUUCUACUUAUUAAAAGCUUAUUGUAUAUAUGUUGCCGCAAGAUAAAUUAGGUUUAGGAAUUAGAAACUUUAACUUAAAUAUAUUUAUGAUUAAAAAUUUUUUAUGUGAUUUUUCUAAUAAAAAUAAAAAUAUAAUAACUAAAAUAAAGAACGCGGGUUGGUGGAUACCAUCGCUGGUACCCAAGGAUUUUUGCUCAAUACCAACCUCACUCACAACCCAAGUGGAUUUAAGUUUAAAAUAUAAAACUCGCCCACAACCCGCAAAAUUAUCCUCAAUGGGUGGGUUUUUACGGGUGGGUUUGUGGGUUGGUAGGUAAUUUUACCAUGGCUAAGUGCAACUAUCGCCACCAAACGACGGAUUCUUCCAAAUCCUUCUCAACAAUAAGUUAAUUAUAUCAACUCAAACAAAAAUAAUAAUAAAAAGAAUUCAUUAAAGAGAAAGAAAUUAAUAAAAAUUAUAUAUACCGCUGAUUUCGAUCUUGAUCUUCUUGCCCAUAGUCUCUAAAAAUGAUGAAAGACUUGUACAGACUUAGGCCCGUUUAGGAUUGAGGUUCAAAUUCAAUAAACUGCUUAUUUAAUAAUUUUUGAGAGAGAUAAUGUUUGGAAAAUUUUGUAAAAACAACUUAUUUUAUAAUUUUUUCUAUUUUAACAACAACUUUUAAAAGCAUGUGGGGAGGUGCUUUUUAUAAGCAGCUUAUUAAAUAAGUCACUAUAUUUUUUUAAAGUUCCUGUUAUAACCUUAGCAUUUUACAAAAAGACAAUUAUAUCUUAUUUUUCCAUAAACCCUAAUAUAAAACCAUUAAAUAUCAUAUUACCGCCACAAUUAAAUUACCACUACAACUAUUGUAUGUUCUCUACACUAUUAAUUUAAUGUGAAUGUAAUGCAUAUUACAUUUUAUUUUAUUUGGAUUAUGUAUAAGUAUGAAUUUUUAUCAUAUUUAUGUAACAGAUUAUGAAGCUCAUUAAAUUUUAUUUAAUUGAGUUUUUUUUCACAUUAUGUAAUUUUAUGUACUUAAAGGAUAAAAGAAAAAAAAAGGCAUGUUUAAACAAUUUAUUAAACAUACUUUAGAAAUAAAAGAUAAUUUAAAUUUAUAUGUAUUUUGAUCAUUAUAUAAUAAAACAAUAUUUUCUCUAUAAAAUUUAUCAAAUGCAUAUACUCUACUUUUUAAAUUCACAGCAAUUAUGGCAAUAAAAUUUAUUAAAUAUUAAGUUACUUUUUUAAUCAGCGACUUAUUUUAUUUGUAUAGUAAAAAUAAUUUAUUUAAUUAGUAAUCACAAUCCCAAACUCGCCCUUAGGACGAGAUUUUAAGUAUACUAAUGUAAAAAGUGAAAUUAAAUUUAAUGGAGAAGAGAGUGGAGGGCGUAAAAUGGGUACGUGGCAGAUUUGUUGAGAUUUAAUGAUGUGGGGACCCGUAACUCUGCGAUGAAAAUGGUGAUUGGUGAUGAUGUUUUCAAUUUUUAUAUGGAAAUUAAAUAAAAAUUAUAUCUGCUGUACCGUACAUCCGCCUUGGCCGUACAGCAGAUUUGUAUAAAUAAAUGGAAAACAGCCUUGCGUUCAGUUGGUUAUUAUGAUAUUCAGUUAAACCAUUUUCAUUUGGCUGAUCGUGUUUUGUACUAUAAUUGAUGUAUUCCCUGCCUUUAAGGUCCAUGUACAAGUCAGCUGUUUUCCCUUUUCAAUAUGGAUAUUGGAGCUAGCAUCUGCUGUACCGUACAUCCGCCUUGGCCGUACAGCAGGAAUAAGAUGUUAUUAAAUUGAUUGGACAGUUGAGAUAUCAAUUUAAUUAAUGAUGUGGUACAAAGGAUUGUGCAGUAAAGAAAUCAAUGUGGCUUGGGACGAAUUAUUAUUCGAGCAUACAAUUAUGGAAGUCCGUUCCAAUCUUUUAGUGGAGUAGAUUUGGAAUUAAAUAUUUGGGCUAGUUUAAUUACAGGCCUAAUUAUUGUAGCCACUAUUGUAUGUUCCCAAAUGAUCCCCGGGUUAGCUCAUUUAAUUGACUGCACCACUACUGGACUAAUAAGUAAGAUAACUAGCUGUUUGGGUCAAAAGCCUAAAUAUAUCAUUUAGUGGGAGGCUCCAUUUAAUUAGCUUUUGUGUAAGGGGCCUUAUGUUAUUUUACAAGGUGGGUCUCCUAUUGAAAAAGAAAAUAACGUGAGUUUUAUUUAGGGUAUUAUUUGGAGCCUAGGGUUUUCACUAAAGGGUGAUAUAAAAGGCUUAUUUUUCCCAAAAGAAAAAAGAAGAAGCCACUUUAUACAAAUCGGAGAAUAAGAUUUUUCUCUCUAUUGUUGAGAGAAAAAUUUUCUCGUGCUAGUUGCUUUGGUAGUGAUAAAGGCGCCCACACGUCAAGUGCAGAUCGAACCUGAGUCAUAACCUGGAAGAUCAUUGGAGACAGUUCGUGAUCUAACAAGCGUGGUGGUGACGGAUCGUGAUCUAACAGGAGUGGUGGUGGCGGAUCGUGAUCUAGGAGCCUAAAUCACUUCAGCGGAAAAAGCAAACUCAGAUUUACAAGGUACGAUUUCUAGAAUACGAAUUCUUAUAUAUUAUAUGAGAGCGAUCUUCAAAAGGUUUUAUAAAAAUUUAAAAACCUGAUUUUUCCCCAACAAAAAUAGUCCCAAAAAUUUUAUAUAACGCAUCCCUAAAUACACCAAAUUAUUAUUCGAAUUUUUACUAGAACUUUGUUGACUAUAAGCGUAAAGCACACUCAUGACUAGAGAAACCACAGUAAAACAGUCGUAAUUUGUAUAAAUGUAAGUUAUGUAUAACUUUGAAAUUCAACCUUGACCUUCUCCCACAACAAGAGUGGCCAACCAAAUGAGCAGAAUAUAUCGAAAUUUUGUGGAAUUGAUAUAGAAUUGAACUGCAUUGAAUUGAAUAUUAGCAAGUUAUAAUUUAAAAACUAGUUAAUCAACUGUAUAUGGGAUUAUCCCAAAGAGUUAGUCCAUUGAUUUGACUUGUAACAGUGGAAGCAAGAGGUGGAAGAAAAGGAUAUGAAAAUUUUAUAUUUAAUCGAAUGAGUAAAAUUUCAAGGAUAAUUUUAUUCUUUUUAAAUAAGAUUUAAGCAAAUAUAUAUAAUAAAAAAGUGGUAUAAGAGCAUCACCAAAAGACUUUUCAAAUAAGAUUUUAUUACUUAUUUGAAGAGCCACAUCAAUAUUUAAAGCUCCAAAAGACACUCCAAUUAAGAUUCUUCAAAUAAAAAUUGAUUCUCUCUCUUCAAAUUUAGAGAGUUAAUUUCUCCCUCUUUAAUUUAUAUUUUAUUACUUUUCAUUGAAGAAAGAGAGAUAAGUGCUUUAAUUGCUAUUGACGUUUCCUUUAAAAAACUAAUUAUAUGAUUAAAAUAAUAUUAACUUAUUUUUAUUUGAAGAGUCUUUUGGAGAAUAUCAUAUUUUUUCACCCUUCUAUUUACCACAUAGGUAAGCAAAUAUGUAUUUGAAGAAUAAAAUUUAUAGAGACUUUUGGAGAUGCUCUUACAAUACCUCUAUUGAAGGCAAGACUCGAUGACAUGGUGAAAUAAUUAUUAGUAAGUACCAAUCCCACCAAGACCAUAAUGAGAGUUGGUGGUGAGUUAUAUCACUUAUUCUAACACACAUAAAUAUAUAGUCUUGUUAUCAAAUAAGUUUUUGUGGUAGCCAUAAGUGGUCUCAAAUGAAUUUAAUUAAGUUUAUGUCUUAAAAACAAAUAUAGCUUUGUAAACCGCUCUUCAAUUAAGUCUAUGCCUUAAAAGAAAAAUGCCAUCUGUUUGUUAAACGUCAAGUCCGAAAUUUUAUUAAUUUUAGUUUUUUUUUUAAUUAUGUUUGAUUUUUAAAUAUUUACAUCUAAAUAGAAUACGUGAACUUUUAUAAGUUUUAUCUGAAUGAAAAGUAAAUAUUAUAUUUCAAAACUAUCUUUAUUAAAUAUAAUUAUUUCCUGAACCAUAAAAUCUAAUUUUUCUAUCUCUCUUUAUUUUGAUUUACAAGGAUAUAAAUGUCAAAUAAUCAUAUCUAAGAUAUUUUUUAUUCGUAAAAAAUUAAGAUGCCACUUAUAUUGAAAUAUUAAAAAAAAAAACAUAUCAUUUGGAUAAUUGUAUUAUGACUUUAAAAAAAUCUAGACCCUUUCAAAUUGCAGACCCAUAAAGAAAAAAAUAAAUGCCACCUUAGUGUUACCAAUUAUUAUUUCUUAUUUUUUUAAUAUAGUAUCAUUUUUCCAAUAAUAUUUAGAUACUAAGAGCUCAUUUGGAAAUACAUUUAGAAGGCUCAAAUUUUUUUAAAAAAAUCACUUUUGGCAAAUUACCCUAUCCUCUAGCAUGUUUUGGAAAAGUAGGAAAUGAGUUUAUUUUCAAAAAUCUGAUUUUUAAAUUAUAUUAUAUUUAAUAAAAUUUAUGCACACACUUAUGAUAAAAAUCUAAAAUUAUCCUUAUUAAUUAGGAAAAUUCAUUAAAAUUGAAGAGAUUAUUAUUAUUGGCAAUUACAUUGAGACGACAAGAUAAAAGUCAAAAUCAUAAGAAACUAUUUAUUUUAGUUAUCAGCUCUUAUAUACGCAAUAAAAAAUAUUUUACAUAAGUGUUUAUAAAUAGAUAAAUAAAAUUUAUUUGAUAUCAAGUCUAUUUCAGUUAUUUAUAUUUCUUAUAGCAAUUUAAUAGUAAGAUUUACUAAAUAUAUAUGAUUGCUUUCAAAACCCAUAAUACUUUUAAAAAUAAAUACUACCAAACGUUUAAUUGAUUCUCUUCAUAAUUGCAUAAUUAACAGCAAUUAUUUCAAAAAUUAUAGCAUUAUCAAACUGGCCCUAAGAUGAUUGUAUUUUUUUUUUGAAAAAAUAUAAUUCCUUCGUAAGAUCUUAAAUUUCUUCAAUCUCUAGUGAUGUGAUUAAAGUAUGAACUUAUAAAUACCCACUGAAUUCUCUAAUACAAGAAAAAUGAUAUUUGUAUCCUCCAAGUUUGUCAUAAUAUAAAGGUCAUUACACUUCAUGAAUAGAUACAUAAAUUCCUUUUUCAACUUGAAUCAUCAAGAUCAACUCCAUAUGUGAUUCCAUUAUUGCUUCUCUCACGACGUAGAUCUCGUCAUUGCAUAUAUGACAAGCAAAAGGAAAAAAGAAGAAGAUUAUGACUAAAUGUUUGAUAUCCUUAAACAAAAGAAACUAGGUUUAUAUAUAAUAAGACGUUUAUACUUUUCAAAUCUCUUAUUAAUAAGAAAUCAAUAAAAAAUAAUAACUUUUUGCAUUUGUGAUAAAAAGAAGGUAUUUUGUAAUACCUUUUUUCACGUAAGAACAUACAAAUAUGGACUCGACUAGCUUACAGAUUCUGUAAGCUACAGACUGCAGAGCAUCAGCCGUUGGAUGUGGUUGGAUGUGGAGUGAGAGAUUAAACCAUAGAAAAUGGGACGGUGGGAUGACGGGAGAUGUUAGGUACAGAAUCUGUACCAUAGGCAGGUUACACACACAAUUCCUGUACGUUGCUUCUGAUUUGGUACCAGCUCCCCUCGAACCCGUGAUUGAUGACGUGCUGAACAUAUUGGCACCAAGCCAACAAGAUCACGCUGGGAGCUGGUGAUGAAUUGUAUCACAUUUACCUUUUGUUCCGUAAAAUUUUUUAUAUUUUGACUUGCAAAGUUUUGAAUUAAGAAUAAAUGAUGAAAUGAAACCAAUGCUUCUGACACUAAUUUUUCACAUAUUAUUUGAAAAAGAAUUAAAAUAAGACGUUGUAUUUAAAACAAGUCAUUUUUAAAUAAUAAUAUUAUACUUAUUCAAUUAGGGUAUAUUAUUUCGUAUUCUAAUUGAUGCAUCACUAAUAAAAUUUUACUAUUUGAAUUAAAUAAGAUAUGACUUAACUAUCAUUUAAAUGGGUCCAGCUAUGUUGCAACAGUGGUAUGGUAUUACAGUUGCAACCAGCCAUUGGAUGUAUAGUUGUACAGUUGUAUUAGCAAGAUCCAAUGGCUAAAAGCAACAGUGGUACCGUACCAUUAUUGCAACAUAGUUUUGCCCCAUUUAAAUAAAUCAAAUAGUGAUAUAUCAUUUCUUACAUUGACUAAAAUAUAAACUAAAUAUCUUAACUAAUCAUACAUAACAUUAUUAAUUUUUGAAUGCAUCAUUAAUUAAGUUGUAAAUGAUGAAGAUGGAUCAUAAUGGAGUUGAACUAAAUUUAGCUACCAACCUUCUCGAACCUAAGACCAAGUUAAACGGUUCUUGAAGCACCAUACCACCGAGUUAUGAGAAGUUUGGUCAAAACAACAGUGAACAACAGUUAAAGCAACAAGUGUUUGAUGGAAGUAUAAAAGCGUUUGAUGAAAUGCCUCAAUGAAGAGUCUCUUGGCGAGUAUUUGAAUUCAGGAACUAAAUAGUCACUAGCGAGCAUUCAAGAAGAUAGUCCCUGAUACUUGUAGAAGGAUGAAAUGUCUUAAGAUUUUAAGAAGAUCAAUGGUCAAGACUGGAAUCAAAGAAUUAAGGGGGUCUGAAUUGAACAGUGAAUAAAACAGAAGUGCAUAACGAACCUUAUUACCUUUGUAUUAUCAUUUACCCUUAAAUCUCAGCCCUAGGAUUAACAGCAAGGGAUGAAGUACGAAUUCAAUACAUGCAUUAUUCACCAGCUGUAAAUGUAGUACAAGGCCAUUGUAUAUAUAAAAUUGAGCAGUGGAAUAUCAAUAAUACAAGCUCGUUCUUUCAAAUUUCUGGCAAUAGGCAUAUAUUUCAGUAAAUUUUACACUAUACACAUUAUACAUUGGAAAAAAAUCCAUAGUGCUUUUAAAAAUAAAUAUUACCAAACGUUUAAUUGAUUCUCUUCGCAAUUGUAUAAUUAACAACAAUUAUUUUAAAAGUUAUAGUAUUAUCAAACUAACCCUAAGAUGAUUGUAUUUUUUUUUUUUUUGAAAAAAAUAUAAUUCCUUGUAAGAUCUCAAAUUUCUUCAAUCUCUAGUGAUGUGAUUAAAGUAUGAACUUAUAAAUACCCAUUGAAAUUCUCUAAUACAGGAAAACGAUGUUUGUAUCUUUUAAGUUUGUCAUAAUAUAAAGGUCACUACACUUUAUCAAUAGAUACAUAAAUUCUUUUUUCAAUUUGAAUCAUCAAGAUCAACUCCGAAUGUGUGGUUCCAUUAUUGCUUCUCUCAUGACGUUGAUCUCAUCAUUGCAUAUAUGACAAUCAAAAGGUAAAAAAAAAAAAAAAAAGAUUAUGACUGAAUGUUUGAUAUCCUUAAACAAAAGAAACUAGGUUUAUAUAUAAUAAGACGCUUAUACUUUUCAAAUCUCUUAUUAAUAAGAAAUCAAUAAAAAAUAAUAAUAACUUUUUUGCAUUUGUGAUAAAAAGAAGGUAUUUUGUAAUACCUUUUUUCAUGUAAGAACAUACAUAUAUAUAUAGGACUUGACUAGCUUACAGAAUCUGUACGUAAGCUACAGACUGCAGCAUCAGCCGUUGGAUGUGGAGUGAGAAACUAAACAAUAGAAGAUCGGAUGGUGGGAUGACGGGAGAUGUUUGUUACAGAAUCUGUAACAUAGACAGGUCCGUAGAUAUGUACACACACACACAAUUCCUGUACGUUGCUUCCGACUUGGUACCAGCUCCCCUCGAACCCGUGAUUGAUGACGUGCUGAACAUAUUGGCCCCAAGCCAACAAGAUCACACUGGGAGCUGGUGAUGAAUUGUAUCACAUUUACCUUUUGUUCCGCAAAAUUUUUUAUAUUUUGACUUACAAAGUUUUGAAUUAAGAAUAAAUGAUGAAAUGAAACCAAUGCUUCUGACACUAAUUUUUCACAUAUUAUUUGAAAAAUAAUUAAAAUAAGAUGUUGUAUUUAAAAUAAGUCAUUUUUAAAUAAGAUGCCACCUAUAUUGAGAUAUUAAAAAAAAAUUAUUUGGAUACUUGUAUUUUAACUUUAAAAAAAUUUAGAUCCUUUUAAAUUGCAAACCCACAAAGAAAAAAAUAAAUGCCACCUUAAUGUUACCAAUUAUUAUUAAUAUAAUAUCAUUUUUCCAAUAAUAUUUAGAUACAAAGAGCUCAAUUGGAAUUACAUUUAGAAGGCUCAAUUUUUUUUUUAAAAAUCACUUUUGGCAAAUCACCCUAUCCUAUAACAUGUUUUGAAAAAGUAGGAAAUGAGAUUAUUUUCAAAAAUCUGAUUUUUAAAUUAGGUUUAUACUUAAUAAAAUUUAUAUACACACACUUAUGAUAAAAAUAUAAAAUUAUCCUUAUCAAUUAGGAAAUAUCAUUAAAAUUGAAGAGAUUAUUAUUAUUGACAAUUGCAUUGAGAUGACAAGAUAAAAAUCAAAAUCAUAAGAAAAUAUUUAUUUUAGUUAUCAAUUCUUAUAUACACAAUAAAAAAUAUUUUACAUACGUGUUUAUAAAUCGAUAAAUAAAAUUUAUUUGAUAUCAAGUCUAUUUCAGUUAUUUAUAUUUUACAGCAGUUUAAUAGUAAGAUUUACUAAACAUAUAUAAUUACUUUCAAAACCCAUAGUGCUUUUAAAAAUAAAUAUUACCAAACGUUUAAUUGAUUCUCUUUACAAUUGCAUAAUUAACAACCAUUAUUUUAAAAGUUAUAGUAUUAUCAAACUGGCCCUAAGAUGAUUGUUUUUUUUUUUAAAAAAAAAAUAUAAUUCAUUGUAAGAUCUCAAAUUUCUUCAAUCUCUAGUAAUGUGAUUAAAGUAUGAACUUAUAAAUACCCACUGAAAUUCUCUAAUACAAGAAAAAUGAUAUUUGUAUCUUCUAAGUUUGUCAUAAUAUAAAGGUCAUUACACUUCAUGAAUAGAUACAUAAAUUCCUUUUUCAACUUGAAUCAUCAAGAUCAACUCCAUAUGUGAUUCCAUUAUUGCUUUUCUCAUGACGUAGAUCUCGUCAUUGCAUAUAUGACAAGCAAAAGGAAAAAAAAGAAAACAAGAUUAUGACUGAAUGUUUGAUAUCCUUAAACAAAAAAAACUAGGUUUAUAUAUAAUAAGACGUUUAUACUUUUCAAAUCUCUUAUUAAUAAGAAAUCAAUAAAAAUAAUAAUAACUUUUUUGCAUUUGUGAUAAAAAGAAGGUAUUUUGUAAUACCUUUUUUCAUGUAAGCUACGGACUGCAGCAUCAGCCGUUGGAUGUGGAGUGAGAAACUAAACAAUAGAAGAUCGGAUGGUGGGAUGACGGGAGAUGUUUGUUACAGAAUCUGUACCAUAGACAGGUCCAUAUAUACACACACACACAAUUCCCGUACGUUGCUUCCGACUUGGUACCAGCUCCCCUCGAACCCGUGAUUGAUGACGUGCUGAACACAUUCGCACCAAACCAACAAGUUCAUCCUGGGAGCCGGUA
Molecule: long non-coding RNA, 9962 nt
Filed under: Citrus sinensis (sweet orange)
Lineage: Eukaryota; Viridiplantae; Streptophyta; Magnoliopsida; Sapindales; Rutaceae
Description: long non-coding RNA (CSIN_LNC000230)
Source: RNAcentral